UAACAAGGAUUCCCCUAGUAACGGCGAGUGAAGAGGGAAAAGCCCAAGUUUGAAAGCUGGCACCUUCGGUGUCCGCAUUGUAAACUCGAGAAGCGUUAUCCGCGCCGGACCAGAUUUUUUUAAGUCCAUUGGAAUAUGGUACCAUAGAGGGUGAUAGUCCCUUUCAUGGUCUGGAACCCCCGGAGCUUUGUGAUGCGCUCUCCAAGAGUCGAGUUGUUUGGGAAUGCAGCUCAAAAUGGGUGGUAAAUGCCAUCUAAGGCUAAAUAUAGAGGAGAGACCGAUAGCGAACAAGUACCGUGAGGGAAAGAUGAAAAGAACUUUGGAAAGAGAGUUAAACAGUACGUGAAAUUGCCGGAAGGGAAGGACAGGGAGUCAGUUAAUGGACCUUGCGGGAUUCAGCUUGACCUUUCGAGGUUGGGUCUAUGUCUGCUUGGACCAGGCCAGCAUCGAUUUUGGCUGCCAGAUAUUAGUAGGGGGAACGUAGCAUUUUCUUCGGAACAAUGUGUUUAUAGACCUUUGCUUGGUACGGCGGCUGGGAUCGAGGAACGCAGUGCACCCUUCGGGGCGGGCCUUCGGGCACCUUUGCACAUAGGAUGUUGGCUUAAUGGCUCUCUAUCACCCGUCUUGAAACACGGACCAAGGAGUCUAACAUGUAUGCGAGUCUUUGGGUGUGAAAACCCGCAGGCGAAAUGAAAGUGAAUUUUUAGGUGGGACUCCUCGGAUGCACCAUCGACCGAUCUCGAGCUUUUAAGUGAAGGAUUUGAGUAAGAGCAUAUAUGUUGGGACCCGAAAGAUGGUGAACUAUGCCUGAAUAGGGUGAAGUCAGGAGAAAUUCUGAUGGAAGCUCGUAGCGGUUCUGACGUGCAAAUCGAUCGUAAAAUUUGGGUAUAGGGGCGAAAGACUAAUCGAACCAUUAAAAUUGAUAGGUGGUUAAGAGGCAGCUAAAAGUGUCUGUCUAGUGGGCGUUGAGGCCUGCGACAUUGUCAAAUUGCGGGGACGACCUUAGAGCCUGAACUACCGCGGCCCUUCGAAAGAAUGGGUGCAGCACCAGGGUAACGACCUCGGGGAUGGUAAAAACGUUCAGGAUUGGUUAAUCCGCAGCCAAGUCCUACGGCAUUUCUUUUCGGAAUGCUAUGGAUGCAGUUCACAGACUAGAUGGCAAUGGGUGAUCCUUUUUGGAUUGCUUAAGAUAUAGUCGACCCCCCCGCGAGAGCGGGCUUUGUAGAUGAAGCUUAGGAUCCCUCAACAAAAGGUCCUGGGCCCGAGCUACGAAGGGCUGGCAUAAAAAACCAGUCGGAUAC
This 1301-nucleotide ribosomal RNA is filed under the name Thecaphora melandrii. RNAcentral describes it as "partial large subunit ribosomal RNA". It matches the Rfam family "Eukaryotic large subunit ribosomal RNA", at positions 66 to 1888 of the family's 3401-position model. The record is from RNAcentral. Lineage: Eukaryota; Fungi; Basidiomycota; Ustilaginomycetes; Urocystidales; Glomosporiaceae.